GGCUUCGUGGUCGAGUGGUAAGGACACAUGCCUCUCACGCUUGAGUUCCGGGUCGAUCCCCGGUCUAGGAGCUA
Molecule: transfer RNA, 74 nt
Filed under: Rhamnusium bicolor
Lineage: Eukaryota; Metazoa; Arthropoda; Insecta; Coleoptera; Cerambycidae
Description: tRNA-OTHER
Source: RNAcentral